UACGAAGGGGGCUAGCGUUGCUCGGAAUCACUGGGCGUAAAGCGCACGUAGGCGGCUUCUUAAGUCAGGGGUGAAAUCCUGGAGCUCAACUCCAGAACUGCCUUUGAUACUGAGUAGCUUGAGUCCGGGAGAGGUGAGUGGAACUGCGAGUGUAGAGGUGAAAUUCGUAGAUAUUCGCAAGAACACCAGUGGCGAAGGCGGCUCACUGGCCCGGUACUGACGCUGAGGUGCGAAAGCGUGGGAAGCAAACAGG
This 253-nucleotide ribosomal RNA is filed under the name uncultured bacterium. RNAcentral's name for it is "partial 16S ribosomal RNA". It matches the Rfam family "Bacterial small subunit ribosomal RNA", at positions 524 to 776 of the family's 1533-position model. The record is from RNAcentral.